GACGAACGCUGGCGGCGUGCUUAACACAUGCAAGCCGAACGGAAAGGCCCUGCUUUUGUGGGGUGCUCGAGUGGCGAACGGGUGAGUAACACGUGAGUAACCUGCCCUUGACUUUGGGAUAACUUCAGGAAACUGGGGCUAAUACCGGAUAGGAGCUCCUGCUGCAUGGUGGGGGUUGGAAAGUUUCGGCGGUUGGGGAUGGACUCGCGGCUUAUCAGCUUGUUGGUGGGGUAGUGGCUUACCAAGGCUUUGACGGGUAGCCGGCCUGAGAGGGUGACCGGCCAAAUUGGGACUGGGAUACGGCCCAGACUCCUAGGGGGGGCAGCAGGGGGGAAUAUUGCACAAUGGGGGGAAGCCUGAUGCAGCAACGCCGGGUGGGGGAAGACGGCCUUCGGGUUGGAAACCGCUUUCCCCUGGGACGAAGCGUGAGGGACGGUAAUGGGUAAAGAAGCACCGGCUAACUACGU
Molecule: ribosomal RNA, 467 nt
Filed under: uncultured bacterium
Lineage: Bacteria
Description: partial 16S ribosomal RNA
Rfam family: Bacterial small subunit ribosomal RNA
Source: RNAcentral